CCUACGGGUGGCUGCAGUGGGGAAUAUUGCACAAUGGGGGAAACCCUGAUGCAGCGACGCCGCGUGAGUGAAGAAGCGUUUCGGCGCGUAAAGCUCUGUCAGCGGGGAAGAAACACGGUUCGCGAGAGCCGCGGACGGUACCCGACCAAGAAGCCCCGGCUAACUACGUGCCAGCAGCCGCGGUAAUACGUAGGGGGCAAGCGUUAUCCGGAUUCACGGGGUGUAAAGGGAGCGUUGACGGCGGGACAAGUCUGGAGUGAAAGGCCGGGGCCCAACCCCGGGACUGCACUGGAAACUGUCUGGCUGGAGUACGGGAGAGGUAGGUGGAAUGCGUAGGGUAGCGGUGAAAUGCGUAGAUAUUAGGAGGAACACCAGUGGCGAAGGCAGCUUACUGGACUGUAACUGACGUUGAGGCUCGAAAGCGUGGGGAGCAAACAGGAUUAGAUACCCGGGUAGUC
Molecule: ribosomal RNA, 458 nt
Filed under: uncultured bacterium
Lineage: Bacteria
Description: partial 16S ribosomal RNA
Rfam family: Bacterial small subunit ribosomal RNA
Source: RNAcentral